Molecule: ribosomal RNA, 301 nt
Filed under: uncultured bacterium
Lineage: Bacteria
Description: partial 16S ribosomal RNA
Rfam family: Bacterial small subunit ribosomal RNA
Source: RNAcentral
CAGCAGCCGCGGUAAAACGGAGGGUGCAAGCGUUAUCCGGAUUUAUUGGGUUUAAAGGGUCCGUAGGCGGAUCUGUAAGUCAGUGGUGAAAUCUCACAGCUUAACUGUGAAACUGCCAUUGAUACUGCAGGUCUUGAGUAAAUUUGAAGUGGCUGGAAUAAGUAGUGUAGCGGUGAAAUGCAUAGAUAUUACUUAGAACACCAAUUGCGAAGGCAGGUCACUAAGAUUUAACUGACGCUGAUGGGCGAAAGCGUGGGGAGCGAACAGGAUUAGAUACCCGCGUAGUCCCUGUCUCUUAUAC